This 468-nucleotide ribosomal RNA is filed under the name uncultured bacterium. RNAcentral describes it as "partial 16S ribosomal RNA". It matches the Rfam family "Bacterial small subunit ribosomal RNA", at positions 28 to 507 of the family's 1533-position model. The record is from RNAcentral.
GACGAACGCUGGCGGCGUGCUUAACACAUGCAAGUCGAACGGAAAGGCCCUGCUUUUGUGGGGUGCUCGAGUGGCGAACGGGUGAGUAACACGUGAGUAACCUGCCCUUGACUUUGGGAUAACUUCAGGAAACUGGGGCUAAUACCGGAUAGGAGCUCCUGCUGCAUGGUGGGGGUUGGAAAGUUUCGGCGGGUGGGGAUGGACUCGCGGCUUAUCAGCUUGUUGGUGGGGUAGUGGCUUACCAAGGCUUUGACGGGUAGCCGGCCUGAGAGGGUGACCGGCCACAUUGGGACUGAGAUACGGCCCAGACUCCUACGGGAGGCAGCAGUGGGGAAUAUUGCACCAUGGGCGGAAGCCUGAUGCAGCAACGCCGCGUGCGGGAUGACGGCCUUCGGGUUGUAAACCGCUUUCGCCUGUGACGAAGCGUGAGUGACGGUAAUGGGUAAAGAAGCACCGGCUAACUACGUG